CCUACGGGAGGCUGCAGUGGGGAAUUUUGGACAAUGGGGGCAACCCUGAUCCAGCCAUGCCGCGUGCGGGAAGAAGGCCUUCGGGUUGUAAACCGCUUUCGGCCGGAACGAAAUCGCCGGGGAGAACAUCCCCGGUGGAUGACGGUACCGGAAGAAGAAGCACCGGCUAACUACGUGCCAGCAGCCGCGGUAAUACGUAGGGUGCGUACGGUAAUCGGAAUUACUGCAGGUAAUUCGUUAAGACACGGUUGAAAUCCCCGGGCUUAACCUGGGAACUGCGUUUGUGACUGGCGGGCUGGAGUGCGGAAGAGGGAGGUGGAAUUCCACGUGUAGCAGUGAAAUGCGUAGAGAUGUGGAGGAACACCGAUGGCGAAGGCAGCCUCCUGGUCUAGCACUGACGCUCAUGCACGAAAGCGUGGGGAGCAAACAGGAUUAGAUACCCGAGUAGUC
This 450-nucleotide ribosomal RNA is filed under the name uncultured bacterium. Its description in RNAcentral is "partial 16S ribosomal RNA". It matches the Rfam family "Bacterial small subunit ribosomal RNA", at positions 338 to 795 of the family's 1533-position model. The record is from RNAcentral.